UACGUAGGGUGCAAGCGUUAAUCGGAAUUACUGGGCGUAAAGCGUGCGCAGGCGGUUGUGUAAGUCAGAUGUGAAAUCCCCGGGCUCAACCUGGGAACUGCAUUUGUGACUGCACGGCUGGAGUGCGGCAGAGGGGGAUGGAAUUCCGCGUGUAGCAGUGAAAUGCGUAGAUAUCUGGAGGAACACCGGUGGCGAAGGCGGCGUUCUGGACGGCAACGGACACUGAGAGACGAAAGCCAGGGGAGCAAACGGG
This 253-nucleotide ribosomal RNA is filed under the name uncultured bacterium. RNAcentral describes it as "partial 16S ribosomal RNA". It matches the Rfam family "Bacterial small subunit ribosomal RNA", at positions 524 to 776 of the family's 1533-position model. The record is from RNAcentral.